CGAGCGAAAGCUCAGCUGGUAGAGCAUCUGCCCGGUGCGCGGAGGGUCGCCGGUUCGACCCCGGCUCGCCGC
This 72-nucleotide transfer RNA is filed under the name Fasciola gigantica. RNAcentral's name for it is "tRNA-Thr". It matches the Rfam family "tRNA". Rfam says of the family: Transfer RNA (tRNA) molecules are approximately 80 nucleotides in length. Their secondary structure includes four short double-helical elements and three loops (D, anti-codon, and T loops). Further hydrogen bonds mediate the characteristic L-shaped molecular structure. tRNAs have two regions of fundamental functional importance: the anti-codon, which is responsible for specific mRNA codon recognition, and the 3' end, to which the tRNAs corresponding amino acid is attached (by aminoacyl-tRNA synthetases). tRNAs cope with the degeneracy of the genetic code in two manners: having more than one tRNA (with a specific anti-codon) for a particular amino acid; and 'wobble' base-pairing, i.e. permitting non-standard base-pairing at the 3rd anti-codon position. Lineage: Eukaryota; Metazoa; Platyhelminthes; Trematoda; Plagiorchiida; Fasciolidae. The record is from RNAcentral.